Molecule: ribosomal RNA, 485 nt
Filed under: uncultured bacterium
Lineage: Bacteria
Description: partial 16S ribosomal RNA
Rfam family: Bacterial small subunit ribosomal RNA
Source: RNAcentral
AUUGAACGCUGGCGGCAUGCCUUACACAUGCAAGUCGAACGGCAGCACGGGUGCUUGCACCUGGUGGCGAGUGCGAACGGGUGAGUAAUACAUCGGAACAUGUCCUGUAGUGGGGGAUAGCCCGGCGAAAGCCGGAUUAAUACCGCAUACGAUCUACGGAUGAAAGCGGGGGACCUUCGGGCCUCGCGCUAUAGGGUUGGCCGAUGGCUGAUUAGCUAGUUGGUGGGGUAAAGGCCUACCAAGGCGACGAUCAGUAGCUGGUCUGAGAGGACGACCAGCCACACUGGGACUGAGACACGGCCCAGACUCCUACGGGAGGCAGCAGUGGGGAAUUUUGGACAAUGGGCGAAAGCCUGAUCCAGCAAUGCCGCGUGUGUGAAGAAGGCCUUCGGGUUGUAAAGCACUUUUGUCCGGAAAGAAAUCCUUGGCCCUAAUACGGUCGGGGGAUGACGGUACCGGAAGAAUAAGCACCGGCUAACUACGUG